This 429-nucleotide ribosomal RNA is filed under the name bacterium. RNAcentral's name for it is "partial 16S ribosomal RNA". It matches the Rfam family "Bacterial small subunit ribosomal RNA", at positions 355 to 776 of the family's 1533-position model. The record is from RNAcentral.
UAGGGAAUCUUCGGCAAUGGGGGCAACCCUGACCGAGCAACGCCGCGUGAGUGAAGAAGGUUUUCGGAUCGUAAAGCUCUGUUGUAAGAGAAGAACGUGUGUGAGAGUGGAAAGUUCACACAGUGACGGUAACUUACCAGAAAGGGACGGCUAACUACGUGCCAGCAGCCGCGGUAAUACGUAGGUCCCGAGCGUUGUCCGGAUUUAUUGGGCGUAAAGCGAGCGCAGGCGGUUUAAUAAGCCUGAAGUUAAAGGCAGUGGCUUAACCAUUGUUCGCUUUGGAAACUGUUAAACUUGAGUGCAGAAGGGGAGAGUGGAAUUCCAUGUGUAGCGGUGAAAUGCGUAGAUAUAUGGAGGAACACCGGUGGCGAAAGCGGCUCUCUGGUCUGUAACUGACGCUGAGGCUCGAAAGCGUGGGGAGCAAACAGG